RNAcentral lists this unclassified non-coding RNA (641 nucleotides) under Hevea brasiliensis (rubber tree). Lineage: Eukaryota; Viridiplantae; Streptophyta; Magnoliopsida; Malpighiales; Euphorbiaceae. The record is from RNAcentral.
GAUGGGUAAUCCCUGGGAAAUUGUAGGAAAUGAUAUUUCCUAUCUUGUGAAAUUCUAUGGCAAAGUCAUUUUGAAGCCAGAUGGAAGUAAACAAUGGAUUGGAGGGGAAAACAUAACAGCUGUCGCCUAUGAUGUGCCAAUUCCAGGAUAUAAAACUAAGACCACAAUAAACCUCCGGUUAUGGUCCACUAAAGUUGCUCCAGAAGAAUUUGAUUUACGUGCUUUUAAUGCUGGGGAUCAUGCUAAAGCAUAUGCAGCUACAAAGAAUGCAGAGAAGGUUUGGGAAUUCGCAAUAAUUAAAUCAUUUAGUUUCCACGAAUUUCUCUUCCUUUUCAGUCGACAUUUCUGUCAAAGGGUGUUUUCUCUGAUGUUUUUAUUGUAAUUAGAUUUGCUAUAUAUUAUGCCCUGGGGAUGAAUCAAUAGAGGGUAAGACUCUUCGGUUGAAGCAACAAUAUACGCUAUGCUCUGCAUCUCUCAAAGAUAUAAUUGCUCACUUCGAAAGAAGAUCAGGAGAAUCAGUGAAAUGGGAAAUUUUUCCUGAUAAGGUUGCAGUUCUGAUGAAUGAUACUCACCCAACUCUUUGCGUCCCAGAGCUGAUCAGAAUAUUGAUGGAUGUGAGAUCUUGGAGAUUUUAUAAUGCU